Prunus mume (Japanese apricot) is the source of this 230-nucleotide non-coding RNA. NCBI's taxonomy places the organism in Eukaryota, Viridiplantae, Streptophyta, Magnoliopsida, Rosales, Rosaceae. The record is from RefSeq and is a predicted model, not a curated record.
UUCUGGCCAAAAAGCUAUCUGGGUCACAACUUCCUCACCGGACAGAUACCAUCAUCUUUGGGUGCUCUGCGUUCUCUGCACACGUUGUCUCUGUCUUAUAAUGAGUUGUCAGGUCCAAUUCCCAACCAAUUAGGAAACAUCACAGCCCUUCAAAUAUUAAUUUUGGAUCAGAAUCGACUCUCUGGUCGUCUUCCACCCUCAUUUAGUAAUUUGAGCAAUCUCCAAUACUU